Molecule: small RNA, 28 nt
Filed under: Arabidopsis thaliana (thale cress)
Lineage: Eukaryota; Viridiplantae; Streptophyta; Magnoliopsida; Brassicales; Brassicaceae
Description: ATSL013990
Source: RNAcentral
UUCAAGUGAUGAGAUUUGAUCUAAAAUU